UAGGGAAUCUUCGGCAAUGGACGAAAGUCUGACCGAGCAACGCCGCGUGAGUGAAGAAGGCUUUCGGAUCGUAAAACUCUGUUGUUAGAGAAGAACAAGGACGUUAGUAACUGAACGUCCCCUGACGGUAUCUAACCAGAAAGCCACGGCUAACUACGUGCCAGCAGCCGCGGUAAUACGUAGGUGGCAAGCGUGGUCCGGAUUUAUUGGGCGUAAAGCGAGCGCAGGCGGUUUCUUAAGUCUGAUGUGAAAGCCCCCGGCUCAACCGGGGAGGGUCAUUGGAAACUGGGAGACUUGAGUGCAGAAGAGGAGAGUGGAAUUCCGUGUGUAGCGGUGAAAUGCGUAGAUAUAUGGAGGAACACCAGUGGCGAAGGCGGCUCUCUGGUCUGUAACUGACGCUGAGGCUCGAAAGCGUGGGGAGCAAACAGG
This 429-nucleotide ribosomal RNA is filed under the name Gemmatimonadota bacterium. Its description in RNAcentral is "Gemmatimonadetes bacterium partial 16S ribosomal RNA". It matches the Rfam family "Bacterial small subunit ribosomal RNA", at positions 355 to 776 of the family's 1533-position model. Lineage: Bacteria; Pseudomonadati; Gemmatimonadota. The record is from RNAcentral.